GGGCCCAUAGCUCAGUUGGUUAGAGCACGCGCUUGAUAAGCGCGGGGUCGGUGGUUCAAGUCCACCUGGGCCCA
This 74-nucleotide transfer RNA is filed under the name Candidatus Moanibacter tarae. RNAcentral describes it as "Candidatus Moanabacter tarae tRNA-Ile". It matches the Rfam family "tRNA". Rfam says of the family: Transfer RNA (tRNA) molecules are approximately 80 nucleotides in length. Their secondary structure includes four short double-helical elements and three loops (D, anti-codon, and T loops). The record is from RNAcentral. Lineage: Bacteria; Pseudomonadati; Verrucomicrobiota; Opitutia; Puniceicoccales.